This 489-nucleotide ribosomal RNA is filed under the name uncultured bacterium. RNAcentral describes it as "partial 16S ribosomal RNA". It matches the Rfam family "Bacterial small subunit ribosomal RNA", at positions 30 to 507 of the family's 1533-position model. The record is from RNAcentral.
AUUGAACGCUGGCGGCAGGCCUAACACAUGCAAGUCGAACGGUAACAGGAAGCAGCUUGCUGCUUUGCUGACGAGUGGCGGACGGGUGAGUAAUGUCUGGGAAACUGCCUGAUGGAGGGGGAUAACUACUGGAAACGGUAGCUAAUACCGCAUAACGUCGCAAGACCAAAGAGGGGGACCUUCGGGCCUCUUGCCAUCGGAUGUGCCCAGAUGGGAUUAGCUAGUAGGUGGGGUAACGGCUCACCUAGGCGACGAUCCCUAGCUGGUCUGAGAGGAUGACCAGCCACACUGGAACUGAGACACGGUCCAGACUCCUACGGGAGGCAGCAGUGGGGAAUAUUGCACAAUGGGCGCAAGCCUGAUGCAGCCAUGCCGCGUGUAUGAAGAAGGCCUUCGGGUUGUAAAGUACUUUCAGCGGGGAGGAAGGGAGUAAAGUUAAUACCUUUGCUCAUGGACGUUACCCGCAGAAGAAGCACCGGCAACUCCGUG